GCUGGGUGUGGUGGCUCAUGCCUGUAAUUCUAGUGAUUUGGGAGGCUGAGGCAGGAGAAUUGAAAGUUGGAGGCCAGCCUGGAGCAGCUUAGCAAGACUCUGUCUCAA
Molecule: small RNA, 108 nt
Filed under: Marmota monax (woodchuck)
Lineage: Eukaryota; Metazoa; Chordata; Mammalia; Rodentia; Sciuridae
Source: RNAcentral